CCUACGGGUGGCAGCAGUGAGGAAUAUUGGUCAAUGGACGGAAGUCUGAACCAGCCAUGUCGCGUGCAGGAAGACGGCUCUAUGAGUUGUAAACUGCUUUUGUACAAGGGUAAACCUGAAUACGUGUAUUCAGAUGAAAGUACUGUAAGAAUAAGGAUCGGCUAACUCCGUGCCAGCAGCCGCGGUACGACGGAGGAUCCAAGAGUUAUCCGGAUUUAUUGGGUUUAAAGGGUGCGUAGGCGGAUUGAUAAGUUAGAGGUGGACUGUCCGAGCUUAACUCGGGAACUGCCUCUAAUACUGUUGAUCUAGAGAAUAGAUGCGGUAGGCGGAAUGUAUUGUGUAGCGGUGAAAUGCUUAGAGAUCAUACAGCACACCGAUUGCGAAGGCAGCUUACCAAUCUAUCUCUGACGUUGAGGCACGAAAGCGUGGGGAGCAAACAGGAUUAGAUACCCUGGUAGUC
Molecule: ribosomal RNA, 460 nt
Filed under: uncultured bacterium
Lineage: Bacteria
Description: partial 16S ribosomal RNA
Rfam family: Bacterial small subunit ribosomal RNA
Source: RNAcentral